UACGGGGGGGGCAAGCGUUGUUCGGAAUUACUGGGCGUAAAGGGCUCGUAGGCGGUCAACUAAGUCAGACGUGAAAUCCCUCGGCUUAACCGGGGAACUGCGUCUGAUACUGGAUGGCUCGAGUUUGGGAGAGGGAUGCGGAAUUCCAGGUGUAGCGGUGAAAUGCGUAGAUAUCUGGAGGAACACCGGUGGCGAAGGCGGCAUCCUGGACCAACACUGACGCUGAUGAGCGAAAGCCAGGGGAGCAAACGGG
Molecule: ribosomal RNA, 253 nt
Filed under: uncultured bacterium
Lineage: Bacteria
Description: partial 16S ribosomal RNA
Rfam family: Bacterial small subunit ribosomal RNA
Source: RNAcentral